GCCCUCUUGCCAGAAAAGUUCUUUCUCCACAGACCAACAGGAAGUUCCCUAAGUACUAUGAGACCUUGUCUUUGCCUAUAGCUGGCUGCAUUGGACAUGGAUUCCUGGCCCAAGUUCAUUAAAGAAGAUGAGGGAAAAUAAACACACAUGUACACGCACACCAGAUAAACUGAAUGCUUCCUUCUGCUGGGGACACGCUGUAGGUGAGCAAGUGCACCAAGGACAAGGCGGCCACUGAUGAAAAGGAAGGGAAAAGAGACUUCAUUUCCAUACCCACUAACCAUGCCAACAGAAGGCUUUGUGAAGAAGGAAGUAAAAGCUAUCGGUAGGAGUUAGAAAAAAACAUUUCUAGUUACAAGAACAGCAGAAAAAGACCUGAACUUCAGAGUGGACCACAAAUGAAUAUGAAUUAAUAACACAGAUCUCUUUUCAAAAGCCAACACAA
RNAcentral lists this long non-coding RNA (445 nucleotides) under Homo sapiens (human). RNAcentral's name for it is "non-protein coding lnc-CCDC171-1:2". Lineage: Eukaryota; Metazoa; Chordata; Mammalia; Primates; Hominidae. The record is from RNAcentral.